GGGCGUGAGAACUACUGUAAAAACAAGUAGUCCUCAGUGGGUGCCGCCCAAACAACAUCGGUCCACCCACUAAGUCUACAGAGGGGAGCCAGGAUAGUAGGAAAAUGCAGGAAAUAAACUCAACCGCUACAAAUCGCUACACUAUCAUGCUCUACACUAACCAACUGUAGGAAAUGUUAAAUGUGACCCAAUCCAAUCGGGACUGUAAACAUACCCGUCCCUGGGACUGUGAAUACACCCAUCCCUGCCCAAUUGCGACUAUCCAGCUACCUCCACACUAACUGGUCCGUGGAUAGCAAGUCCAACCGGCAUGAGCGACACCAACGCGAAAGCACAAAGCCCGUCUCCGGAGUGGCACUCGUGGGCGCUACCCAACCGAGUAUGCAGCGUAUCUCUGUCGAGCUCAAUCAGGCUCUGUCAAGCCAAAGUCUAAGUAACCGACUCGAACUGGUCUAACAACCAACAAGUAACGUGCCCUCGGCACAAUCUGACGCCAAAACGGCGAACCGAGCCCACCGUCAACCCCAACGGCGCCCAAAAGUCCGAAACAGCCCAAACGACCCUGUAAAAAUCCACUCGGCGUACCAGCACGAGCGUAAAUGUAUUCUAAACUACCUGGAGUACUCGUCUCGAGGAUGCUGCGACAGUACAAUUUUAUAACGGCUCCUAGAGCUAAAUCAGGCAGUUUAAAAAAAGUGACAGGUCCAAAUCGCAGGUUUUCUCCUAAUUCAAAUUCCAAGUCCAAUAGGUAUAACCUACUCAAUUUAUUACCACAUGCUCCAAAUUCAGAUUUGCAGUCUACAAUAUAAUCUAUGAAUUCGAGCUAGAAUAGACUAUACCAAAAUCGAAAUUAUACAUGUCGACGAUUAGAACUUAGGAGUCAAAACCGAUGUAACCCACCUCAAGAAGCUAGCUUCUGGCAGCGAACGAAGCCUCGAACCAGAGUGAUCCCUGCUGGAUCAACUGGAACCCUCCAAGUCUAGCACUCGAGCUAACUCCAAGCUCUACGAUCAAAAUCCACCAAUUCAGUCAGAAUUUCGCAGCAACAGAGUAGAAAAGGGAUUCAACCAAGCUAACCUUCACCAAAUCUGGCAAGUAAGGGCUUCGUGGAUUCCUCUCGAAGUCUCGAAUCCAACGAACCAAGUCUCGUCGCAAUCCGAUGCUCCUACGUCGAGUACAAGCUGAAAUACUAACAGUCGAUGAUGAAUUUCAGCAAACAACAUCACUUCGAGUUGAAGUAGUAAGAACUUGCCCAAAACCAUGGAAAUGCUGAAUUACCCACCUCUACAACGCCAAGCACCGGUGCGACUGAAAAAACGGCGAAAACCUACGCUCGCCCGGCCUCCUCGCGCUACCCCGGCGUCAAACACGUGCUCAAACGGCUCCGCGGCGCAACGUCGGCGACGAAUUCUCCAACCGAGCUCACUUGCCUUCAAUCGAGACUAGAGAGAGAGAGGAGAAGAGAGAGCAACAAGAACUCUCUCUCUCUCAGCUCAGCACAAGCCUAUAUAGAGAGGGAGAGAGGUGGUGAUACAAACGAGGGAGGGAAUUACCAAAACAGCUCUCUACCUACCCCCUUGUACCGGUACAUGGGCUCCUGUACCGGUACAAGAGCCAACCCGAGAGCAGCUAAACCAGUGCGCGCUGGUUGUACCGGUACAGCGUGCUUGUUGUACUGGUACAGCAAGCAGAGAAAUCUGCUGUUUUGCCGAUUUCUUCGCUAUAAGUUGUCCUCGCGUUGUACGGAGUCUGUUUUGUGUCUAUUUGACGCUAACGCGACUCGGAGUUGUCCCGACACUCUCCAGAGCUGCCGACAAGCCUCCACAACAGAACACCAGGGAUCUCACAUCCUCCCCCUCUACAAAAAUUCGUCCGCGAAACUGAAACGUACCUCUGCUCAGGCAUCAAACAAAUAGGGAUAGGCCUCCCUCAUCAUCGUCUCAGGCUCCCAAGUCGCCUCCCGCUCCUCAUGAUUACUCCACUGCACUUUCACAUACGGGAUGACCCGAUUGCGCAAUUCUUUCGUCUCUCGAGCAAAAAUCCGCAACGGUCGCUCCUCGUAUCUCAGAUCCUCACUAAUCUCCAGUGGAGUGAAGUCGAUCACGUGAGUGGGAUUGAAAACGUAUCUCCUCAAUGCUGAGACGUGGAAAACAUCGUGGAUGCCAGCAAGUCGCGGGGGUAGAGCUAUCCUGUAUGCAAUCGGUCCGAUAUGCUCCAAACUGGCGUAUCCCUCUGGACGACGAGACUUUGAGGAAAACAUGAUCUCCAACCUGAAACUCCAAGUCUCGUCUCCUGGUAUCGGCGUAGCUACUCUGUCGGCUCUGUGCUGUCAAAAGGUGUCGUCGAACGAUUCUCACCUUUUCCUCAGCCUCAAGUAGAAUCUCCAGUCCAAGUGUCCUCCGCUCACCCACAUCGCUCCAAAACAGGGGGGAUCGACAUCUGCGUCCAUACAACGCCUCAAACGGAGCCAUCUGAAUGCUCGUUUGAUAGCUGUUGUUGUACGCAAACUCAACCAGUCUCACAUGUCGAUACCACCCUCCUCCAAAAUCCAGGACGUAUGCCCUUAGCAUGUCCUCUAGAGUCUGUAUGGUCCACUCUGACUGACCAUUUGUCUGUGGGUGGAACGCUGUGCUAAAUUGCAGCUGAGUGCCCAAGGCGGUCUGAAGGCUCCUCCAAAACUGGGAUACAAACCUCGGGUCUCUGUCUGACACAAUCGACACUGGCACGCCGUGUAGCCUAACGAUCUCAUGCAAGUAUAGCUGCACGAGUCUCUUUUUGGGCCAAGUAGUCUGAACCGGUAGGAAGUGAGCAGACUUGGUCAGUCUGUCCACUAUCACCCAAAUCGCGUCGUAGCCAUCCUGUGCUCUCGGCAAUCCAACGACAAAAGUCCAUAGUGAUGUACUCCCACUUCCACUCUGGCACUGGCAGACUCUGAAGCUUGCCAGCAGGCACCUGAUGCUCGGCCUUCACCUGUUGGCAAGUCAAACACUGAGCCACAAAUCUGCCAAUGUCCUUCUUCAUUCCAGGCCACCAGAACCGUGCCUUUAGAUCAUUAUACAUCUUGGUUCCCCCAGGGUGAACCGUAUAAGGAGAACAAUGAGCCUUUCUCAGAAUGUCUGCUCGGAUCUCCGAAUCCACAGGCACACACAGUCGGUCACUGUACCGUAGUACUCCCGAACUGUCGAAAGCAAAACCCUCAGCCUGCCCCCUGUCUAGCUGCUCUCUAAUCCUCAACAAGUACGGAUCUCCACUCUGUUUCUCUCGGAUCCUAUCCAACAGAGUGGGCUGUAAAACUAGAGACGUCAGCCUCGCCGUAGACCCAGGGGGUACUAUCUCGAGUCCCAGCCGCUGUAGCUCCUCGAGUAGGGGUCUCUGCUCAGUAAUCCUCAAACUCAGGCUCUGCACUGACUUCCUGCUCAACGCAUCUGCCACCACAUUCGCCCUGCCGGGAUGAUACUGAAUACUAAUGUCAUAGUCCUUCAGUAACUCCAACCACCGGCGCUGCCUCAGGUUCAGCUCCCUCUGUGUGAACAGAUACUUGAGACUUUUAUGAUCGGUGAAGACCUCGCAGUGCUCGCCGUACAAGUAAUGCCGCCAGAGCUUCAAAGCAAAAACCACCGCGGCAAGCUCCAAGUCAUGCGUAGGGUAAUUCUUCUCAUAAUCCUUUAACUGCCGUGAAGCAUAAGCAAUCACCCUACCAUGCUGCAUCAGCACGCAACCAAGUCCACUGUGCGAUGCAUCACUGUAGAUCACGAAUCCAUCCCCCAUCACCGGAAGGGCAAGGAUAGGAGCCGACGUCAACCUCAGUCUCAACUCGUCAAAGCUCCUCUGACAGUCGUCGCUCCAGACAAAACGAAUCCCCUUCCGCGUCAAGCGUGUGAGGGGUGUGGAAAGCUUCGCAAAGCCUUCCACAAACCGACGGUAAUAUCCUGCCAGUCCCAGGAAGCUCCGUACCUCAGUCACCGUCGUCGGUCUAGGCCAAUCUCGAAUCGCCUCAAUCUUCUUCGGGUCCACUGCUACGCCCUCAGCUGAAAUCACGUGGCCCAAGAAAGCAACCUCCCGUAGCCAGAACUCGCACUUCUUUAACUUGGCAUACAACUUCUUCUCGCGCAGAAGCUGUAGCACAAUCCUCAAGUGCUCCUCAUGCUCAGCAUCACUCCGGGAGUAAAUCAGGAUAUCGUCGAUGAAGACUACCACAAACCUAUCCAAGAACGGCUUGAACACUCUGUUCAUCAAAUCCAUGAAUGCGGCAGGGGCAUUCGUCAAUCCAAAAGGCAUCACCGUGAACUAAUAAUGCCCGUACCGAGUCCGAAAAGCCGUUUUGGGAACAUCCUCGGCCCUCACCCUCAACUGGUGGUAACCUGACUGGAGAUCUAUCUUCGAGAAGACAUAAGAUCCCUGCAGCUGAUCAAACAAAUCAUCAAUGCGCGGCAAAGGAUACUUAUUCUUGAUGGUCACUUUAUUCAGCUUCCGGUAACCCACGCACAGCCUAAGUGAACCAUCCUUCUUCUUCACAAAGAACACCGGCGCUCCCCAAGGCGACACACUGGGCCUCACAAACCCUCUAUCCAUCAAAUCCUGCAGCUGCACCUUUAGCUCCCUCAGCUCUGCCGGCGCAAUCCGAUAAGGUACCUUCGAGAUUGGUGCAGUUCCAGGAACUACAUCAAUCACAAACUCAAUCUCCCUCUCCGGCGGCAACGAUGUCAACUCAGGAGGAAAAACAUCCGGAAACUCACGGACUACAGGGAUAUCCUCGAGUUCCGGCGCCGCCGUAGGUACCUCCACAACUGUCGCUAAGAAAGCGAUACACCCACUGCUCAGCAUCUGUCGAGCCCUCGCCGAAGAUAUCCAGGUGGCAAACAACGUACUCCUGCAGCCUCUGAAAGUGAACUCCUCCUGGCCUGGCUCGCGGAACGUCACCGUCCUCGCUCCACAGUCGAUCGUAGCAUAGUACCGCGCCAGCCAAUCCAUACCGAGCACGACGUCGAAGUCCUGCAGCUGCCCUAACACCAAUAGGUCUGCGGGCAUAAUCCACGAGUCUAGCUGCAUCGGACAUGACCAACAACACUCCACAUCCUGCAAAACAUGGUCUGGGAUCUGCACCUCUCGUGCCUGAGACAACGCUCCUAACUCUAGACCAUGUAACUGUGCAAAUACUCGGCUAACAAAGGAAUGCGAUGCACCGGUAUCAAAAAGAGUGCGAACUCUAAUGCCAGAAAUCAAAGUGAUACCUGCCACCACUCGGUCGGCUGCUGUAGAGUCCUCCACCUCAGCUGCGUAGACCCUGCCACUCGGAGCCUGUUGUCGCCGCUCACUCGACCGCGACACAGACGAUCUGUCUUCCUGGCGGUAACUCGGUGCUGCUCCGUAAGACUGCUGUGGUGCUGGUGGUGCUGAAGCUGAUAAUGGUGCUGAAGAUGCUGCUCGGGGACAAGCUGCCCUCAUGUGUCCCGGCUGACCACACCCGUAACACCUGCCCUCUGUCUGCUCACACUGCCGGGGCCAGUGUGGUCCCCCGCAGAUCACACACUGUGGCGUCCUCUGAGUCUGCCCCUGCUGACGGGAUCCCCUAGAACGCUGACGCCCCGAAGACCCGCGACCCUAAGAACGUGCUCGUGAAGGUUUCGGUGGACGUCUGCUGCUCCACUGGCCUUCGUCAUCUGCAAAGGUGCGCUUCCUAUCCUGACCCUGUGUGACGAACUGGACCUUUGCAAAUUGCAAGGUUCGAGUGUUUGGAUGUAUUUCGAGCUUUUCCACACUUGGUGGAGGGUUGUAGAGUGUUUUCCGACCUAAAAAGUUCGAAAACCUUAGUUCGGGAUGAGUCCUGAGAGUUUUUACUCUCGGGGACCGGUCCCUGAUAUGAGAGACCGGUCCCCCCAGUGAACAGUGUGCGCAGCCGGCAAGGCAACCGGUCUCGCGCAGGGAGAGACCGGUUCCCGAACGUUGGUUUUUCAGGUUCGCAGCGAGAGACCGGUCCCUGCUGGGGAGAGACCGGUCCCUCUAGGCGAAAACUGCCCAGACCGGGCUGAUGUAAUCCUGUUUUUUUGAGGGGCCUCUUGGGAUUUUGUUACAUUAGAGGGUCUAUAUGACCCAUCCACUCUCUCCUCUCCCCAUUUCUCUUCUCUCAACCCUCUCUACACCCUUGAUAGAGAAGAAGAAGAAGGAGUAAAGAGGAAGGAGGAGAAGAAGAGGAAGAUCUAGCUUUGGGCUUGGCAGCAUUUUUGCCUUCUUCCUCUUCCACCUUGUUGUGCUUAAAGGCUUGGACUUGGAGCUUGCAAAGGAGAAGAUCUUCACACCUUUGAGCUUGAUUGGACUUCUAAGGAGGUUUGUGGCUCCUUUCCCUCCUCUUAGAUCUUGUUUUGAUAGUUUUUGUAGAUGAAACCCUAGAAAUGAGAUUUAGGUUGAUUUUGGGGCUUUUUGAUCUAGGGCUUUUGAGGCUAGAUUAAUUGGUUUAGAACCUUCCUUGGGGCUUGGAUUGGAAGGUUUCUAGCUCUCUUGGAGCUUUUGGAAGAGAUUUCUUCUCUUGAGGUGAGUUUUUGGCCCUUUUUGCUUCUAGGUUAAUGUUUGAAUCUAUGGUUGGUCGUGAUGCCCUCCGUAUCUCUUCGCUGAUCACUUUUAGGGUCUUUGAGACUGCGUGGACAUCGUUCGGCGAAUCGAAGGAGCACGCGAACGGUUCGGUGGGUUUGACCUAGCCACACAAUGAGAAAUUCUCAAUUGUGAUGAAUUAAGUAUCGUCAAUUGAAAAAGCAUGCAUAAUCAUGUUAGAAUAUAUUUAUUGUGAUUUUGGGAUGCUUAAUAUGCCUAUGGUUAUGUGUAAUGAAAGUUCGGACCUCACUAUAGUAGAGAACUAGCAUGUGGUACUCGCAUUAUGUUUGGCAUCCUAUUGAGACUUGGAAUCAUAAAUCCUAUUGUGAAAAUGAGCAUCUUUUUGCAUGCAUUUAAAGUUAUUACCUAUAAAUGAGCUUAAAGGUUCUUGGUAAGCCAUAAAGAGGCAUCGGGACUUGUGCUAUUGUGAAAUAAUUGGGCUAAAUGUAUGAAGGGGCAUCGAGCUCGGGUCAUGUGAACCUAGGGGAUAGUGCCCAUUGAGAGAGUUAUAUACUUGUCAUUAAAUGUCUAAGUGUCAUAAAGGGCACAAGACUUAGUAGUAUUGGAACUUCAUGUUGUGAUUUAACUAAGAUCUUCGGGAUGCCUAGUGACUAUACCAUUUAGAGACAUGAGGACUGGACACUUGAGACUUGGACUAUGCUUGCUUGCCAUUUGUGCUCAUAUUCGCACAUGCUUGUGAGGGUCGCUCUCUACAAGCCGCACUCCGGAGUUAGCCUACGCACUUCGUUCGCGCGUGCGGUAUGAGAAGCCUACGGGUCCGAGUGGGAUCAGACACAUUGCCAAGAGUAAGGAAUGUCGGCAUACCACAGGCACUUAGGCGGCCGAAGCUGUGACUACCUUUGGUAGGUCCUUAAUUGGAAAUGAAUCUGAUCAGCCGGUGUGAGUUUAUUAUGAUCACUACUAGACACGAGAGUAAUAGUAGGAUUAUGUGGGAUUACUUCUAGUAUAGUUGUGGACAUUUUGGGUAAUCAUACAUAACAUGUAGUAUGCUAGAGAGUUGUUAUAUUGCAUCCUUAUAUGCACUAGUAGUCAUGACAAAGUAGUCACUUUCAUAUCUGUAUAAAUUGAAUCAUAAUAUACUUUGAACUGUAGAUAAUAUAUUAUCCAUGAACGAAGAUAAGUCGCAAAUUUGAAUCCAUGUUAUUGGCAAUCGAGCUUAGCAUCUUAAUUAAUGUCUUUCUUUAUAUGUCAAUUUAUUCGUUCUGAGAUUCGUAGACUCACCCUUCUUCUUUGGCCUAAGUGUGUGCAAUGAGCGAGGUCAUAAUUGCCCACUUGGGAACUAUAAAAUUAUAGUUCUCACGCCUCUUUCUCGAUGCUUUUCAAAGCUUCACGAGGGAGAGGCCAGGGAUACGUGAAAAGAGGUUCAGCCUCGGUAGCGUUUACCUGAGGGAUCGUUCGAUAUAGGUGGUCUACCUCCCGUUGUUUUCUUUUUGUGAGAGUGUGAGAUUGUACCCGUAUAUGUAUAGAGACACAUUUUGUACUAGAAGACAGUUGUGUAACUACUUUAUUGAUUUCUUUUAUUGUCCUAGCUUUAUUACUUAUACUUUGGUGUAGAUGUUGACUUUACGUCGCUCUGAUAUCAAUUAGUUUGCUAGUUUUAUUUCACCUUCUCUAUGUAUUCUUUUACUUGUUUACUUCCGCUUUUAUUGUAGACGCCUUAUAUGUGUAGACAUAUGACGGGUCUGGGCACGCUACCGGGAGGGCCUUCGCCGGUCCCGGGGCGUGACAGAUUAAUUUGGUAUCAGAGCCUAGGGUUGAGUCUUAGUGGACCUAGCGAACCUUAGGCCGGUUGGACUAUAGGAAUUAGGCUCGUGAGAGACGAGGUCUAAUUGACUUGUGAGCGAAAGUAUUAUGAUUGAGUUUAUGACAACUCUAAAAAGUUAGGGUUUGAUCGGAGUGUAUGGCUUCUAACUUCGCGGAGGGUUACGUUGGCGGCCGACAACGUAACAUCGGGAGUUAGUAGUGAAGGACACUUCCUUACUUUCGCAUGAUUUGGGGUUUUAUCUUUUUGAGCGGGGAUGCGACAGCGUGGGUUACUAACUUGCGCUUUUAUGCUUUGUAGUGACGAUGCCGAUUACACGCUCCCAGUCUGCCGGGGCGGAUGAUGCGGCACAUCCCGAGGGGGUCGAGACCUCCGCUACUUCCGGAUCUAGUAAGGUCCGUGACCUGAGGGCCCAGCUUGCGGUUCUCACUGAUUUGUUGGCGCAGCAGACGGCGGCGGCGCAGCAGACGGCGGCGGCGCAGCGAUAGGCUGAGGUGGCUCAGCGGCAGGAGGCGCGGAUGAAGCAUCUUGAAGACCUCCUACUUCAGCAGGCGGCAGCUUCUAGGGAGACCUAGGGUCCCACGCCGCCAGCACCCGUGGUGGACGUCGCACCGAGGGCGCAGUCCCCCGCGCCCAGUUCCUCACGUGCGGCACCGGCGACCGCACCUCGGGAGGAGGUGGCUGCGGCACUACCAGUUCAGAGACCAGCGACGGGGGCGGCAUUCCCCAUGAUGGCUGAGGGAGCCGAGCGGGAUCGGCUCAUGGAUCGCCUCAGCGAGUUUAGGAGGUGCAGCCUGAGGACGUUUGAUGGCGAGAACGUCGACCACUGGAUUGUUGAGAAGUGGUUGCUGCACAUGGAGAAGCUGUUUCGAGAUACCUUCGUGGAGGAGAGGGACAGAGUUUGGCUCGCCACUCACUUUCUGGACGGCGAGGCCUAUCGUUGGUGGUUGGAUAUCCAGGACAACCCCAACACCGAUUUGGCGGCAAUUACUUGGACACGAUUCAAGGAGCUUCUACUCACGCACCACUUUCCUACCAGCGUCAAGAAGAAGAUGGAGCAGGAUUUGCACAGCUUGCGCCAGGAUGAGCGGUCAGUGGCUGAGUACGAGAGGGAGUUCUCCCGGAUACUACACUGUGUACCGUUUGUUGUGAGGGACGACGAGGACAAGGCCCGCAUCUUUGAGCGCGGUUUGCGGCCUUCUAUCUUCCGGUUGGUACAGUCUUCCAACCUCCAGACCUACCGGGAGGUUGUGGAUCGAGCUUUGAUAGUGGAGGUAGGAGCGGCGGAUCUGCAGGAGCGUCGCGAGAGCUUGGAGAAAGGGAAGGGCAAGAGGCCCGCGGCUGAGGGUGCGAGUCAGACGCACUCACGGAGGCCGCCGAGGCAUCCCAGGAGUAAAAGCCAGUGGCGAGGACGCGGCCCGUCUACCCAGCGAGGAGGACCCGAUCGUCGCCAGGCCCCCCGCUACGUGAUCUAUGGCGGUCCUCAUUACCCGCGGCAGUGUUCACGCGGCCGGGGCAGGUGCUUCUUGUGUCGCCAGGAGUGCCACUUCCAGUCGGACUGCCCGAGGAGUCCAUUGUCAGCGCCAUCUGCGGCAUCUGCGCCAGCAUCGCCAGGUCCCAGCCAGAGGACAUCUUCUGCGCAUCACCAGGCAGGACCGCCGCCAUUUCUGCGACAGGCGGAGGGGUCACGACAGGCCCCGAGCGGGCGCAUGUACGCGGCCCAGACUGAGGAGGCAGCGGCAGCCGAGAAUGUGGUCGCAGGUAUCAUUUUACUUUAUGGUAUUCGAGCUAGAGCUUUGUUUGAUACCGGUGCAUCGCAUUCAUUCAUUGACCGGCUGUUUGCCGAGUUGCAUGGCAUCCUACUUGCAUCCUUGUUGCAUCCAGGACGAGUUACUGUACCCGAUCACUCUUUGGAUAUUCGAGAGUUUUGCCCCAGUUGCCCUAUUCGGGUUGGAGAUUGGAUCAUGCCCGUGGACUUGUUAGGCGAACCGAGCCCACCGCGACUCCCAACGCGGCCAAUAAGUCCGAAACAGCACAAACGACCCUGUAAAAAUAACACUCGGCGUAACCAGCACGAGCGUAAAUGUAUUAAUACGCUGGAGUACUCGUCUCGAGGAUGCUGCGACAGUACAAAUUUUAUAACCUCCUAGAGCUAAGAUUAGGCAGUGUUAAAAAAACAGUGACAGGUCCAAAUCGCAGGUUUUCUCCUAAUCAAAUCGAAGUCCAAUAGGUAUAACUACUCAAUUUAUUACAACAUGCUGCCCAAAUUCAGAUUGCAGUCUACACUAAAAUGCUAUGAAUUCGAGCUAGAAUAGACCUAUACCAAAAUCGAAAUUAUAUCAUGUGAUCUGAUUAAAUUUAGGAGUGCCAAAAACGACUGUAACUCACCUCAAGAGCUAGCUUUCUGGCAGCGAAACGACCAUCGAACCAAGUGAUCCCUGCUGGGAUCAACUGGAACGCUGCCAAGUCUAGCACUUCGCACUAAAUCACAAGCGCUCUACGAUCAAAUCCACCAAUUCAAGUCAAAUUUCGGCAGCAACAGAGUAGAAAACGGGAUUCACCAAGCUAACUUCACGCCAAUCUGGCAAGUAAGGGCUUCGUGGAUUCCUUCUCCAAGUCUUCGAAUCAAACGAACGCAAGUUCGUCGGCAAUCCCCGAUGCUUACCUACGUCGGUACUAAGCGUGAAAUACUAACAGUCGAUGGAUUGAUUUCACAACAACAUCACUUUAGAGUUUGAAGUAGUAAGAUACUGCCCAAAACAUGGAAAAUGCUGGAAUUACCCACCUCUACAAACGCCAAGCACGGUGCGACUGAAAAAACGGCGAAAACCCUACGGCUCGCUAGAGCCGGCCUCCUCGCGCUAGCCCCGGCGUAAACCACGUGCCUCAAGCUACGGCUCCCGCGCAAUCUGUCGGCGAUGAAUUCUUCCAAACCGAGCUCACUUGCUUAAUCGAGACUAGAGAGAGAGAGGAGAAGAGAGAGACAACAAGAACUCUCUCUCUCAUCAGCUCAGCACAAGCCUAUAUAGAGAGGGAGAGAAGGUGUGAUACAACGAGGGAGGGAAUUACACAAAACAGGUCUCUAACCUACGCCCUUGCCGGUACAUGGCUCCUGUAGCCGGUACAAGACCAACUUCGAAGAGCGGCCUAAACCAGUGCGCGCCGGUUGUACCGUAACGCGUGCUUGUUUUGUACUGGUACGCAAGCAAGAGAAAUGCUGCUGUUUUGCCGAUUUCUUGCUAUAAUGUUGUCCUCGCGUUGUACGGAGUUGUUUGGUCUAUGUGACGCUAACACAUGUUCGCGAACUCGAGGUUGUCCCGACACUGCUCUCAGACUGCCGACAAGCCACCACAACAGAACACCAGGGAUGCUACAUCCUCCCCUCUACAAAAAAUUUCGUUCCGCGAAACUGAACGUACCUCUGCUCAAGCAUCAAACAUAAUGGGAUAGGCUCCCGUCAUCAUUCGCUCAGGCUCCCAGAAGUCUGCCUGCCGCUCCUGCAUAGAUUACUCCAGUUUUUUCUGCAACUUUCAAAAUACGGGAUGACGCGAUGCGCAAUUCUUUCGUCUCUCGAGCAAAAAUCCGCAACGGUCGCUCCUCUAUCUCAGAUCCUCACUAAUCCAGUUGGAGUGAAGUCGAUCACGUGAGUGGGAUGAAAACGUAUCUCCUCUAAUGCUGAAGACGUGGAAAACAUGCGUGGAAUGCCAGCAAGUCGCGGGGUAGAGCUAUCUCUGUAUCAAUCGGUCCGAUAAGCUCCAAACUGCGUAUCCGUCAUGGACGACGAGACUUUGAGAAAACAUGAUCUCCAACCCUGAAAACUCCAAGUCUCGUCUCCUGGUAUCAGGCGUAGCUACUGCUGUCGCUCUGUGCUGUCAAAUAGGUGUCGUCGACGAUUCUCACUUCUUCUCAGCCUCAAGUAGAAUCUGCCAGCUCCAAGUGUCUCCGCCUCACGCACAUCGCUCAAACGGGGGAUCGACAUCCGCGUCCAUACAACGCCUCCAAACGUAGCCAUCUGAAUGCUCGUAUUGAUAGCUCGUUCUUGCUUGUACCAAACUCAAACCAGUCUCAGUAAAACAUGUCGAAUACACCCUCCUUCCAAAAUCCAGGACGUAUGCCCUUAGCAUGUCCUCUAGAGUUGUAUGGUCCACUCUGAUGACCAUUUUGUCUGUGGUGGAACGUCUGUGCUAAUUGCAGCUGAGCUGCCCAAGGCGUCCUGAAGCAUCCUCCAAAAACUGGGAUACAACCUCGGUUCUGUCUGACACCAAUCGCAUGGCACGCCGUGUAGCCUAACGAUCUCAAUGCAAGUGAUAAGCUCACGAGUCCUCUUUUGGGCCAGUAGUCUGAACCGGUAGAAGUGAGCAGACUUGUCAGUCUGUCCACUAUACCAAAUCGCGGUCGUAGCCAUGCCUGUGCUCUCGGCAAUCAACGACAAAAGUCCAUAGUGAAUGUACUCCGCACUUCCACUCUGGCACUGGCAGACUCUGAGCUUGCAGCCAGGCAGCCUGAUCUCGGCCUUCACAUCUUUGGCAAAGUCAAACACUGAGCCACAAAUCUGCCAAUGUCCUUCUUCAAUUCCAGGCCAGAACCGUGCCUUUAGGAUCAUUACUACAAUUGGUUCACCGCCAGGUGAACCGUACUAAGGAGACAAUGUAGCCUUUCUCAGAAUGUCUGCUCGGAUCUCCGAUCCACAGGACAGGAUUCAGUACGUAGUAUCCCCAUACUUCGAAAGCAAAAAACCUCAGCCUGCCCCUGUCUAGCUGCUCUCAUAAUCCUCAACAAGUCGGAUCUCCACUUCUAUUUCUCCUCGAUCCUAUCCAUCAGAGUGGCUGCAAACUCAGAGAUGUCAGCCUCGCCGUAGACCAGAGGGUAUCUUAUCGUCGAGUCCACAGCCGCUGUAUGCUGCCUCGAGUAGGGGUCUCUUGCUCAGUGAUCCUAAACUCAGUGCUCUGCACGACUCCUGCUCAACCUCAUCAGCCACAGACAUUCGCCUUGCCAAGGCUGAUACUGAAAUACUUAAAUAUCAUAGUCGCUUCAAUAACUCCAACCACUAGCGUGCCUCAGGUUCAGCUCCACUACUGUGUGAACAGAUAUAUUUGAGACUUUUAUGAUUCGGGUGAGGACCUCGCAAUGCUCGCGCGUACAAUAAUGCCGCCAGAGCUCAAAGCAAAACACUGUGGCAAAGCUCUAUCAGUCUUUGUAAGGUAAUUCUCUCAUAAUCGCUUUAACUGUUGUCUGGGCCGUGAAGCAUAAACAAUCACCCUAACCAGCUGCAUCAGUACCAACCAAGUCCACUUGGGAUGCAUCACUGAGAUCAGAAUCCAUCCCCCAUCACUGGAAGGGCAAGAUAGGAUCGACGUCAACCUCAAGUCUCAACAUCGUCAAAGCUCCUUGACAGUCGUCGCUCUCGCCAAAACGAAUCUCCUUCCGCGUCAAGCGUGUGAGGGGUGUGGAAAGCUUCGCAAAAGCGCUUCCACAAACCGAGUAAUAUCCUACCAUGUCCCAGGAAGCUCCGUACCUCAGUCACCGUCAGUCGUCUAACGGCAACUCUCGAAAUUGCCUCAUCUUCUUCGGGUCCACUGCUACGCUCAGCUGAAAAUCACGUGGCCCAACGAAAGGCAACUCCGCAUAGCAGAACUCGUACUUUCUUCUAACUUGCAUAUACAACUUCUUUUCAGCUCGCAGAGUAUAGCCACAAUGCCAAGUUCUCCUCAUUGUCGGCAUCACUCCGGAGUUAAAUCAUGUUGGGAUAUCGGUCGAUGGAAGCACCAGCAAAGCCUAUCCAAGACGGCUUUGACACUCUGGUCAUACAAAUCCAUGAAAUCGCUGCAGGGGCAUUCGUCAAUGCCAAAGCAAUCAACCGGACUAAUAAUGCCGUACGAGUCCUGAAAAGCCGUUUUGGGAACAUCCUCUUCGCCUCCCCUCACUGGGGGUAACUGAACUGGGAGAUCUAUUUUCGAGAAGAACAUAAGAUCCCAUGCAGCUGAUCAAACAAAUCAUAAAUGCGCGGCAAGAUACUUAUUCUUGAUGUCACUUUAUUCAGCUUUCCGGUAACCCCCAUCAGCCUAAGUGAACAUCCUUCUUCUUCACAAAGAACACCGGCGCUCCCCAGGCGACACACUGGCCUCACAAACCGUCUAAUCCAUCAAUCCUGCAGCUGCCAACCUUUAGCUCGCCUCAGCUCUGGCCGGCGCAAUCACGAUAAGGUACCUUCGAAGAAUGGUGCAGUUCCAGGACUACAUCAAUAUCAUCAAACUCAAUCUGCCCUCUCACGGCGCAAGAUGUCAACUCAGGAGAAAAACAUCCGGAAACUCACGGACUACAGAGGAUAUCCUCGAGUUCCGGGCCCGGCCGUAUACCGUCACAAUGCGCUAGAAAGCGAUACACCCACUGCUCAGCAUCUGUCGAGCCUCGCCGAAGAUAUCCAGGUGCAAACAGCCGUAAACUCUCUGCAGGCCUCUGAAGUGAACUCCUCCUGGCCUGGCUCGCGGAACGUCACCGUGCGUCGUCCACAGAGUCGAUCGUAGCGAGUACGCGCCAGCGCAAUCCACACGAGCGCACUCGACGUCGAAGUCCUGCAGCUGCCCUAACACCAAUAGGUCUGCGGGCAUAAAUCCACGAGCUAGCUGCAUCGGACAGACUCAACAAUCACUCCACAAUCUGCAAAACAUGGUCUGGGAUCUGCACCUCUCGUGCACUGAGACAACGCUCCUAACUCUAAGACGCAUGUACUGUGCAAAUACUCGCUACCAAAGGAAUGCGAUGCACCGGUAUCAUACAGAGUGCGAAUUAAUGCCAGAAAUAAAGUGAUACCUGCCCAAUCGGUCGGCUGCUGUAUGGUCCUCUACACCUCCAGCUGGCGUAGACCUGCAACUCGGAGGCGCUGUUGUCGCCGCCUCACAUCGACGCGACACAGACGAUCUGUCUUCCUGGCGUAACUCGGUGCUGCUGCGUAAACUGCUGUGGUGCUGUGUGCUUAAGCUGAUAAUGGUGCUAAGAUGCUGCUCGGGCAAGCUGGCCCCGAUGUGUCCGGCUGACACACCCGUAAACACCUGCCCUCUGUGCUGCUCACCAUACUAGCCGGGGGCAGUGUGGUCCCCCGCAGGAUCACACCUGUGGCUCCUCUGAGUCGCCUGCUGGACGGAUCCCCCUUAGAACCUGACGCCCGAAGAGCCGCGACCUAAGAACGUCUCGUGAAAGGUUCGGUGGGACGUCUGCAAGCUAUCCACUGGCCUUCGUCAUCUGAAAAGGGCGCUCCUAUCCUGACUCGUGUGACGAACUGGACGCUUUGCAAAUGUGCAAAGGUUCGAGUGUUUGAUGUAUAUUCGAGCAUUUUGCCACACUUGGUGGAAGGGUUGUAGAGUUGUUCCGACCUAAAAAGUUUCGAAAACCUUAGUUCGGGUAAUGAUCCUGAAAGAGUUAUUUACUUCUCGAGGGACCCGGUCCCUGAUAUGAGAGACCGGUCCCCCCAGUGUAAACAGUGUGCGCAGCCCAGGCAAGGCAACCGGUCUCAGCGCAGGGAGAGACCGGUUCCCGAACGUUGGUUUUUCAGGGUUCGACGAGAGAACGGUCCUGCUGGGGAGAGACCCGGUCCUCUUAGGCGAAAACUGCCCAGACCGGGCUGAUGUAAUCUGUUUUUUUGCAGGGCCUCUUGGAUUUGUUAGCAAUUUAAGAGGGUCUAUAUUGACCCAUCCACUCUCUCUUCUCCAUUUCUCUCUCUCAAGCCCUCUCGUACACCUUGAUAAGAGAAGAAGAAGAAGGAGUAAAGAGGAAGGAGGAGAAGAAGAGGAAGAUCACUGGGCUUGGCACAUUUUUGCCUUCUUCUCUUCCACCUUGUUGAUGCUUUAUAAGGCUUGACUUGGAGCUUGCAAAGGCAGAAGAUCUUCACACCUUUGAGCUUGAUUGGAAGCUUCUAAGGAGUUUGUGGCUCCUUUCCCUCCUCUUAGAUCUUGUUUUGAUAGUUUUUGUAGAUGAAACCUAGAAUGAGAUUUAGUUGAUUUUGGGGCUUUUUGAUCUCAGGGCUUUUGAGCUAGAUUAAUGGUUUAGAACCUUCCUUGGGCUUGAUGGAAAGGUUUCUAGCUCUCUUGGAGCUUUUGGAAGAGAUUUUCUUCUCUUGAGGUGAGUUUUUGCCCUUUUGGCUCUCUAGGUUAAUGUUGAAUCUAUGGUUGGUCGGACCUCGUAUCUCUUCGCUUGAUCACUUAGGGUCUUUGAGACUGCGUGGACUCGUUCGGCGAAUCGAAGGAGCACGCCGAACGGUUUCGGUGGGUUGACUAGCCACACAAUGAGAAAAUUCUCAUUGUGAUGAUUAAGUAUCGUCAUUGAAAAAGCCAUGCAAAUCCAUGGUUAGAAUAUAUUUAUUGUGCAUUUUUGGGAUGCUUAAUAUGCUAUGUUAUGUGUAAUGAAAGUGGACUCACUAUAGUAGAGAACUAGCAUGUGUACUCGCAUUAUGUUUUGGCCAUCUAUUGAGACUUGGAAUCAAUAAAUCCUAUUGUGAAUAAUGAGCAUCUUUUUGCAUGCAUUUAAAGUUAUUACCUAUAAAUGAAAGCUUAAAGGUUCUUGUAAAGCAUAAAGAGGCCGGGACUUGUGGUCUAUUAGUGAAUAAUGGCUAAAUGUAAAUGAAGGGGCAUCGAGCUGGUAUCGUGAACCUAGGGAUAGGCCAUUGAGAGAGUUAUAUACUUGUCAUAAAUUCUAAGUUCAUAAAGGGCACAAGACUGUAGUAGUAUUGGAACUUCAUGUUGGAUUUAACUAAGAUCUUCGGGAUGCCUAGUGACUAUACCAUUUGAGACGAUGAGGAUAGGACACUUGAGACUUGGACUAUGCUUGCUUGCAUUGUGCUCAUAUCGCACAUGUUGUGAGGGUGCUCUCUACAAGCCGGCACUCUCGGAGUUAGCGUACGCACUUCGGUCGCGUCGUGCGGUAUGAGAAGCCUACGGGUCGAGUGGGAUCAGACACAUUGCAAAGUAGGAAAUGUCGGGCAUACCACAGGCACUUAGGCGGCACAAGCUGACUACUUGGUAGGUCCUUAAUUGGAAUGGAAUCGGAUCAGCGGUGUUGAGUUUAUUAUGAUCACUACUAGACACGAGAGUAAUAGUAGGAUUAUUGGGACUUUACUUCUAGUAUAGUUUGGACAUUUGGGUAAUUCAUACAUAACAUGUAGUAUGCUAGGAGAGUUGUUUAUUGCAUCCUUAUAUCACUGUAGUCAUGACAAAGUAGACUUUCAUAUCUGUAUAUAAGUGAAUCAUAAUAUUACUUAUGAAUUGUAGAUACAAUAUAUAUCCAUGAACAAGAUAAGUCGCAAAUUAUGAAUCCAUGUUUAUUGGCAAUCGAGCUAGCAUCUUAAGUAUGCUUUCUUUAUAUGUCAAUUUAUUCGUUACUAUUGAUUCGUAGACUCACCUUUUCUUUGGCCUAAGUGGUGCAAUGAGCUGAGGUCAUAAUUGCCCACUUGGGAACUAUAAAAAUUAUAGCUCACGCCCUCUUUCUCGAUGCUUUUCAAAGCCUUCCACGGCAGGGAGAGGCUCAGGGAUACGGAAAAGGGUUCGCCUCGCUAGCGUUUAACCUCGAGGGAUCGUUCGAUUAGGUGGUGCUAGCCUCUCGUGUUUUCUUUUUGUGAGACGUUUGUAGAUUGUACAACCGUAUAUGUUACGAGACACCAUUUUUGUACUAGAAGACAGUUGUUGUAACUACUUGUAUGAUUUCUUUUAUUGUCUAGCUUUACCUUAUUUACUGUGGUGAUAGAAUGUUGACUUUACUCGCUCUGAUAUCAAUUAGUUGCUAGUUAUUUCACCUUCUCUAUUUAUUCUUUUACUUGUUUGUCACGCCCCGGAUGUCUCGUUCCCCGGACACGCCGACAAAUCCGCCGUAUACAAAGAAAUUUCCCCUGUAUACGAAGCGACAGCUGUACCUGUAAAUCAAACACUACUACGAACAGUAGUAGAGAGCUGCUAGAGAAAACAGAAACUAAACAAACUGAGUUUCAUAUACAUAGUCCAAAUCCAAAAUACAGAGUUACUCGCACUGGCGAGUUAAGUCUACUAUGUACAUAAACUCGAAACAAAAUAUCUACCUGCAGUAGGGGUGCCUCUAGCUGUGCUCGUCGGGUAGGGCUCUAACUCGCGACGCCCUUGCCUCGGUCUGCCUCGGAAGGUGCAGCAUUCGAAACCUGUGGCUCUGCAAAAUAGGGGUAACAACUGGGCGUGAGAACUACUGUAAAAACAAGUAGUCCUCAAUGGGUGCCGCCCAAACAACAUCGGUCCACCUACUAAGUAUACAGAAGGGAGCCAGGAUAGUAGGAAAAUGCAGAAAAUAAACUCAACCGCUACAAAUCGCUACACUAUCAUGCUCUACACUAACCAACUGUAGGAAAUGUCAAAUCUGACCCAAUCCAAUCGGGACUGUAAACAUACCCGUCCCUAGGACUGUGAAUACACCCGUCCCUGCCCAAUUGCGACUAUCCGCUACCUCCACACUAACUGGUCUGUGGAGAGCAAGUCGAACCGGCAUGAGCGACACCAACGCGAAAGCACAAAGCCCGUCUCCGGAGUGGCACUCGUCGGCGCUACCCAACCGAGUAUGCAGCGUAUCUCUGUCGAGCUCAAUCAGGCUCUGUCAAGCCAAAAUCUAAGUAACCGACUCGAACUGGUCUAACAACCAACAAGUAACGUGCCCUCGGCACAAUCUGACGCCAAAACGGCGAACCGGGCCUACCGUCAACCCCAACGGCGCCCAAAAGUCCGAAACAGCCCAAACAACCCUGUAAAAAUUCACUUGGCGUACAAGCACGAGCGUAAAUGUAUUCUAAACUACCUGGAGUACUCGUCUCGAGGAUACUGCGACAUUACAAUUUUAUAACGGCUCCUAGAGCUAAAUCAGGCAGUUUAAAAAAAGUGACAGGUCCAAAUCGCAGGUUUUCUCCUAAUUCAAAUUCCAAGUCCAACAUGUAUAAUCUACUCAAUUUAUUACCACAUGCUUCAAAUUCAGAUUUGCAAUCUACAAUAUAAUCCAUGAAUUCGAGCUAGAAUAGACUAUACCAAAAUCGAAAUUAUACAUGUCGACGAUUAGAACUUAGGAGUCAAAACUGAUGUAACCCACCUCAAGAAGCUAGCUCCUAGCAGCGAACGAAGCCUUAAACCAAAG
Molecule: long non-coding RNA, 19498 nt
Filed under: Ananas comosus (pineapple)
Lineage: Eukaryota; Viridiplantae; Streptophyta; Magnoliopsida; Poales; Bromeliaceae
Description: long non-coding RNA (ACOM_LNC023465)
Source: RNAcentral